GAUGAACGCUGGCGGCGUGCCUAAUACAUGCAAGUCGAGCGAACAGACGAGGAGCUUGCUCCUCUGACGAUAGCGGCGGACGGGUGAGUAACACGUGGAUACCCUACCUAACAGACUGGGAUAACUUCGGGAAACCGGAGCUAAUCCCGGAUAAUAUAUGGAACCGCAUGGUUCAAUAGUGAAAGACGGUUUUGCUGUCACUUCUAGGUGGAUCCGCGCCGCAGUAGCUAGUUGGUAAGGUAACGGCUUACCAAGGCAACGAUGCGUAGCCGACCUGAGAGGGUGAUCCGGCACACGGGAACUGAGACACGGUCCAGACUCGUACGGGGGGCAGCAGUAGGGAAUCUGCCGCAAUGGGCGAAAGCCUGACGGUGCACCGCCGCGUGAUGGAUGAAGGUCUUCUGAUCGUAGAACGCUGUUAGGAUGUAAGAUCAAAUGUGUAAGUACCUAGGCACGUCUUGACGGUACCUAAUCAGAAAGCCACGGCUAACUACGUG
Molecule: ribosomal RNA, 497 nt
Filed under: uncultured bacterium
Lineage: Bacteria
Description: partial 16S ribosomal RNA
Rfam family: Bacterial small subunit ribosomal RNA
Source: RNAcentral